AUACGUAGGGUGCAAGCGUUAAUCGGAAUUACUGGGCGUAAAGCGUGCGCAGGCGGUUUUGUAAGACAGUGGUGAAAUCCCCGGGCUCAACCUGGGAACCGCCAUUGUGACUGCAAGGCUGGAGGGCGGCAGAGGGGGAUGGAAUUCCGCGUGUAGCAGUGAAAUGCGUAGAUAUGCGGAGGAACACCGAUGGCGAAGGCAAUCCCCUGGGCCUGCACUGACGCUCAUGCACGAAAGCGUGGGGAGCAAACAGGAUUAGAUACCCUGGUAGUCCACGCCCUAAACGAUGUCAACUGGUUGUUGGGGAUUUAUUUUCUCAGUAACGAAGCUAACGCGUAAAGUUGACCGCCUGGGGAGUACGGCCGCAAGGUUAAAACUCAAAGGAAUUGACGGGG
RNAcentral lists this ribosomal RNA (395 nucleotides) under uncultured bacterium. Its description in RNAcentral is "partial 16S ribosomal RNA". It matches the Rfam family "Bacterial small subunit ribosomal RNA", at positions 523 to 918 of the family's 1533-position model. The record is from RNAcentral.